GACGAACGCUGGCGGCGUGCUUAACACAUGCAAGUCGAACGCUGAAGCUCAGCUUGCUGGGUGGAUGAGUGGCGAACGGGUGAGUAACACGUGAGUAACCUGCCCUCUUCUUUGGGAUAACGCCCGGAAACGGGUGCUAAUACUGGAUAUUCACUGAUUCUCGCAUGGGGGUUGGUGGAAAGGUUUUUUCUGGUGGGGGAUGGGCUCGCGGCCUAUCAGCUUGUUGGUGGGGUGAUGGCCUACCAAGGCUUUGACGGGUAGCCGGCCUGAGAGGGUGACCGGUAACAUGGGGACUGAGAGACGGCCCAGAAUACUACGGGAGGCAGCAGUGGGGAAUAUUGCACAAUGGGCGAAAGCCUGAUGCAGCGACGACGCGUGAGGGAUGGAGGCCUUCGGGUUGUAAACCUCUUUCGCUCAUGGUCAAGCCGCAGCGUUGGGUUGUGGUGAGGGUAGGGGGUAGAAGCGCCGGCUAACUACGUG
This 480-nucleotide ribosomal RNA is filed under the name uncultured bacterium. Its description in RNAcentral is "partial 16S ribosomal RNA". It matches the Rfam family "Bacterial small subunit ribosomal RNA", at positions 28 to 507 of the family's 1533-position model. The record is from RNAcentral.